AGAGUUUGAUCCUGGCUCAGAUUGAACGCUGGCGGCAUGCCUUACACAUGCAAGUCGAACGGCAGCACGGGGGCAACCCUGGUGGCGAGUGGCGAACGGGUGAGUAAUAUAUCGGAACGUACCCAGUAGUGGGGGAUAACUAUCCGAAAGGAUAGCUAAUACCGCAUACGAUCUGUGGAUGAAAGCAGGGGAUCUUCGGACCUUGUGCUAUUGGAAUGGCCGAUAUCUGAUUAGCUAGUUGGUAGGGUAAAAGCCUACCAAGGCGACGAUCAGUAGCUGGUCUGAGAGGACGACCAGCCACACUGGAACUGAGACACGGUCCAGACUCCUACGGGAGGCAGCAGUGGGGAAUUUUGGACAAUGGGGGCAACCCUGAUCCAGCAAUGCCGCGUGAGUGAAGAAGGCCCUC
RNAcentral lists this ribosomal RNA (409 nucleotides) under uncultured bacterium. Its description in RNAcentral is "bacterial SSU rRNA". It matches the Rfam family "Bacterial small subunit ribosomal RNA", at positions 8 to 419 of the family's 1533-position model. The record is from RNAcentral.